This is a small nucleolar RNA of Sorex fumeus (smoky shrew), 211 nucleotides long. RefSeq annotates it as small nucleolar RNA U3. The transcript has a single exon. The record is from RefSeq and is a predicted model, not a curated record. NCBI's taxonomy places the organism in Eukaryota, Metazoa, Chordata, Mammalia, Eulipotyphla, Soricidae.
CAGACAAUAUUUUCAGAGAUCAUUUCAAUAGUUCGGUACUAGAGAAGUUUCUAUGAUCCUGUGAAGCAUCCAAAACUACAAGGAGAAGCCAGAGUGUUCUCUCUGAGUGUGAAGACUCUAGAUAUUGCUUUUACAACUUGCCUUUUAUUGCUGAUGAUCGUUCUUUUCUUCCUUUGGAAGAGCGUGAGCGAAAAAAUUUAGUCUGAGUGGU